AACUUUUCUACCCUUCGUUGGUAGUGUGGUGGUGAUAAAAUUUUAUUGUGUUUGUAUGCCUUUGUGUGAUGUGAUUGUAUUAUUAAUUAGUUUCGCUUACAAUCAAUUUUGAAUUUAACAUUUUUACCUUUUGGUUAUGAUAUUUAUGUUCUAAUUUUAAGAAAGUAUGGGAAUUUUUUCAGCUUCUCCAUUUGAAACUGAUGUUGAAAAAGCUACAAAUGAAAAGAAUGUAUCUGAAGAAUGGAGUGUUAUCAUGGAAAUUUGCGACAAAAUUCAGGAAUCGCCUCAAAAUUCAAAGGAAUACUUGAGGGCUAUUUUCAAACGCUUGAAUCACCAGGACCCUCAUAUUGUCAUGCAAGCUCUUUCUCUGCUAGAUGCGUGCGUGAACAACUGUGGAAAACCAUUUCACUUGGAGGUGGCGUCAAGAGAGUUUGAAGCCGAGUUUAAGAAGUUGGUCGGUAAAAGCCAGCCGAAAAUUGCUGAAAAGUUUAAAAGUCUUCUCAAAAAAUGGGCUGAAGGAGAAUUCAAAAAUGACACCCAAUUAACUCUUAUUCCUUCUUUAUAUGCUAAGCUGGUGAAGGAGGGCGUCGAUUUCUCUCAUGUCGAUGAAUCAAAGCCAAAACAAAGCCCACAGCUAAAGGAUCCCAAUGCUGUAUCUAGUCAAAAAGAAGUGGAAGAUAUUGCAAAAGCAAUCGAAUUGAGCUUACAAGAUACAACAAUAUCAUCUGUAACUAAAUCUGGUCCGAGCAGUAGUUCAAGCCUCUAUCCAUCGCCAAGUAUGGCAAAUUCAAACACAAGCACUGAAGGAAGGAAAGUGCGAGCUUUAUAUGACUUCGAAGCAGCCGAAGAAAAUGAGCUUACGUUUUCGGCAGGCGAAAUCAUUCAAGUAUUGGAUGACACAGAUAGCAGUUGGUGGGAGGGCUGCAAUCAAAGGGGAAGAGGGCUUUUCCCCUCAAACUUUGUGACAGAUGACCUAACUGUGGAACCAGAAAAUACAAGCCUGGAAAGUGAGGUAGUUGUUGAAGCCGUAGAAAUAGAUGUGAGUCUUGAAUCUACUUCAUCCAUGGCAGAAGUUAUUAGUCAUCACCCUCAGUUAGAUAUUACUGCAGCCGCUAGUUCUAUGCCUGGCUCACCUAGGCCCAAAACAUUGCCUUCUAGAAAAAGGCCAAAAUCAAUGAAAAAUAAGAUCGAAGCUCCUAGGUCACAAGAUAUUCCUAAUGAGGAAAAGAAGGUUUAUAGCAGAGAUAUUGACUUUCUGAACGAGAAGCAAAACGCUGAAUUGCUUUUAGUGAAAAUGAAACUUGAAACGGAAAAACUAAAACAGGAGUAUUAUAGACAAAACAAUUGUGAUGAAAGGAGGAGGGUGGAUGCAGUUGGAAUGGCGUUCCUAAAAGAAACCCAAAACGCCGAAAUGAUGUUGGCAAAAAUCAAAUUUGAAACUGCUAAACUUAUGCAAGAGUACAAUAAACAAAAUCCCUCUGAUGAAACGAAAAACGUAUGUACGAUGGUAACUGGAAUUCACAAAGAAAUGGAUAAUGCACAAACGAUGUUUGUUAAGAUAAAACUCGAAACGGAAAAGCUGAUGAAGAAAUUUUAUAAUAAAAUGAGAGCUGAAGAGGAUGAUUGAUGUAAUCAAAUUAUUUAGACUUCGAUUGCUGAAAUAUUCAAAAUAUUUCAUAAAUUAGUAUACAUACAGAAAAUUAAUAUAUAUUUUGACGAGAUACCUGCGCCUGGUGACAGGGAUCUAUUUUAUAUAUAAAUCUAUUAAUAUCAUUGAAAUCUUACAAUGCAAUUUUCAAGUAUAGUUCGAAACUACCGAGAUAGUUUCUAGUUAGUCAAAUUUAUACAUUUUAAAUGUAUAUUCAAGAGUAAUUUUGUUAGAAUGUAUAUUGCUAGAGCGGAAUGAAUGGAAAUAUUGAAUCAUCGAUUGAUGAUGAAUAUUAUAUUAAUAAUAUUGAUGAUGAAUAUUAUAUUAAUAAUAUCAGCUACAGUAUUGUGUGAAUUUUCAUAAUAUGCGAGAGAAGAUUAGCUAUUGUAACGCGAAGACUUGAGCUUUUCUAUGAGAAAUGUAAACACACCCAGAAAGAGUUUUAUUUAGACGUAUAUACCACAAACACAAGUGAAUCGGAUAAACUCCAUAUAUUUGAAUAAAGCAUUGAUACUUUGAAAGAAAAACUGAUAUUAAAAUAUCUUAUAUUUAUAAUUAAAGAAUAUGAAUUUGACUUACCCUACGAAUAGAGCUUAAACUCUAUGAAAUAUUGGAUGAGGAAGCUUGGGGACGGACCAGUUAUUGCUAAUAAAAACACCGCACAGUUGGUUAAUGGGAAAGCUAGAUGACGAUGAGACUAGAAGGCAUGGAUGAAUGGAAAGAUGCAGGAGUAUGGAGGACUACCUUAGGGAGGUGGUUGUCUGCCAGCUAGGAUCCAGAUGACUAUGGCAAAUUUGAAAAGAAGUCCGUCCAGUUCAAUGAAACUGUUCAAGUGAAGACAGUGAAAAAUUUGCAACCAGUAGAAAUCGAUGAGGCAAAAAUUGACAGGCUAUCCUAUUUAUUACAUGAGGCAGACCCGGAGGACGACGCUAAUGAUUCUGAACAAAUGCUAACGCUUGAGGAGGAAGUGAACGCUAUGGCUCCUCUAAUAGACACGGAGCUGGAGCGAGUGGACAAGAAGCAUGCCGUGUUGACGCAGCUGUCGUCGAAGCUUGUCGAGUCGCUCAACAUCUACUACACGCUCAUGCGCGACCACCAAUUCGCCAAGCAGCCCACUCUGCCCCCUCCCAGCCCUUUCCACCAAUCACCAGCGCCUCCGCAGGGUUUUAACGGCCCAGUAACAUAUUCACUUCCUCCGGAGCAGUACAUGAUGGGUCCCCCUCCCCCGGGGCCGCAGUACCCUUCCAUGGGACCACAGUCGCUGCCACCUAAUCAGCAGAUGUCAUUCCCUCAAAGCGGACUGCCUGAAUACUUGCCGCCGUUUCCUGGUGCUCAUUCGCAGCACAACAUGGCGGGUGGAUUCGCCGCCCCUGCUCCCACCCCCGGGCCACCUCCGACGUCUGCCAACUCAGUUGGCGCCCCCACCAACUCACAACAGUUGUGAUCGUCAGCAACGCUAUUGGCAAAUGUACAGUGAUGUGAAAAUGUGUAAAUAUAUUGAGGCUGUCUUAUCUGUCGAGUGUCAUGAUUUAUCAGAAAUUUUAUGCGCUGCUUUCAGUUGUCUUCAAUGCAGUGAUGUUACAUUUAUUGUUAAGGAGAUUACUCUUUACCUUCUCCAUGCUUAAGAAUCAAAUGAGCAUAAUUCAAUAAUGCUUGAAAUAUUCAGAUCCAUCGUUAUAAUAGAAUGAAAAUACAUUUUUGUACAGGAUUGACUAAAUCAUCUUUGAAACGAACAUUUUCCAUUUUCUUGAAUCACAGAAUUAUCAGGCAAACUAUUUCCAAGGAGUACUGAACGUUUCAUUGUUAUUUUUUUCAAAAAUUAUCUACUGACAUCUGUGAAAAAUUAUAAGAUAGGCCUAUACUAUAAUGUUGCUCUGUAUAAAGUACUGUUUAAUGAAUAAAAUUCCAAUUUCCACUAAACCUUAAAGUAGUAGUGCUUGUGAUUAAUAUUAUCGUAUUGAAUUGUAUAGCUUGAUCACGUCUGACCCUUUUUUGUUGAUAGUAUUUUCACCAAUCAAAAACAUGAUGUUUUAUUUGUUUCAUUUCUCGAUGAUUUGCAUAAUUUUAACUCUCGUCGGCGUCUUAGCACUCCAAAUUCAAUUUCAUAAUAUUUCGUAGACCGCUCUUUGCUCGUCUAACUCCUUACCAACACCUGCAUUGCAUUGCAUUCCUUCCACUGCCUGUGAGGUCAGACGAGGAAUGAGAGCCUUGUGACGAUCCAUGAUCAUUCGCAGAUAAAUGCGUAUGCAAAAUUGUCACAUUUUGUCCUCGAACUAAACACAUGAAACAAAAUUAUAUGAUUCGGCCUCCAAGAUCUGCUUUUUUGUGCUAUGAAAUCCCAAAAUCGACCUGCCUCUUCCCCGUGUCCGACAAUAUCUUCCAGUUCCUCUGAUGACUGUCUCUACUUCCCUAAUCCUUUUGUUCUGCUUCUCUAAUCUAUAGCAGCCUGAACACAGGAACAAUAGUAGCUUCCACUAGCUGCCGCGGUUAACGCGUAAUUGGAAAUGUCCGGAAAUCAAAUGUUCAUGACAUUUUCAUUUCCUAGUUCCCGUGGAAGCCACUAUCGUCUGUAUGUGCAGAACGUUAUGUUCUGUCCCUCUUCACAAUGAUUUCCCUAGUGAACUAGUUGAGUUCACCUUCAACUUUAAAAUUGUGCAAUUUAUCACUCUGGUAAUUUCACUACUUCAUCCUCAUACCAUUUUGUGAAUUCCGUAUAAGCUAAGUUUAUUCUCUGCGACUUUUGUGUGUACUUUAUCUCCUUCGAACAAGCAUUGUGCCGACACAUAUUUUAUAAUAAUUGAUAGAUGUUUAUUAUUGUUAAUUAAACAUGAUUUAAAUAUUAUAUAUUCUAUGAACAUAAUUCUAUAAUAUUUUUUAUUCAUUCAUUUAGAUCCCUUACAUCAGCACUUCUCCCUAAUUCUUUGAAAAUAAUUCGAUCAAUGCAGUUCCAUUAGAAUUUAGGUUGUAUUUUAAUACUGUUGUUCAUUUCAGUACGCGCUCAUAUUGUAUAACAAUGAAUAUUGAGCAUUGAAAUCAUUUUGUUUGUUAUCUAUUUUUAAGAAUAUAGUAUUGAAAAUAUAUAAUUAAUUUCCUUA
This is an RNA transcript of Nilaparvata lugens (brown planthopper), 4743 nucleotides long. It is a transcript of the gene named signal transducing adapter molecule 1, with no coding region annotated. NCBI's taxonomy places the organism in Eukaryota, Metazoa, Arthropoda, Insecta, Hemiptera, Delphacidae. The transcript is spliced from 12 exons. The record is from RefSeq and is a predicted model, not a curated record.